RNAcentral lists this transfer RNA (75 nucleotides) under Thermoproteus tenax Kra 1. Its description in RNAcentral is "tRNA-Arg (CCT) (tRNA-Arg-CCT-1-1)". It matches the Rfam family "tRNA". From Rfam's summary of the family: Transfer RNA (tRNA) molecules are approximately 80 nucleotides in length. Their secondary structure includes four short double-helical elements and three loops (D, anti-codon, and T loops). The record is from RNAcentral. RNAcentral also lists the same sequence under 1 other name. Lineage: Archaea; Thermoproteati; Thermoproteota; Thermoprotei; Thermoproteales; Thermoproteaceae.
GGGCCCGUAGCUCAGCAUGGAUAGAGCGGCGGCCUCCUAAGCCGUAGGUCGUGGGUUCGAAUCCCACCGGGCCCG